UUCGUAUAGGUCUUCGUUUGUGUCUCACUGGUCCACGGUCUCUUCUAGACCCAGACGUCCUCCUUUCCCUGCACAAAGAGACAGGAAUCUACAGCACUGGAGGAGCGACUGGACCCUUUACCAUGCGCAUAGUCGACAUAAAGAAUGUGACGUCUGCACCGUGAGAUUUCAUCAUCCACGGUUUAGCCGGGAGCUGUUGGGAGAAAUGUUAAAUUAGUUAAUUAAACGUAUAGAUCAAAAGCUUAAAAUCAGUAUUUGGGUGUUUUGUGUUUAGUUAUCGAUUAAAGAUUAACUUUAAAAUUAAUUCCACCCACCGAUUGAUCCCGCCCAUUCAGUGGCUCAGCCAAUCGGAAUGGACGGGAGCCCUCAUUCCCACCCUUCCUAUUUGCUCCUGGCGGCCGUGAGGAAGUUUUGUGCGCGUCGCCGGUCAGUGGUGGUGAAUGGGCGGAUGGAUGGAUUCAUUGUAAAAUAAUGGGAUUCGCGCAGCCCUGAUUGCGCAACGAUGGCAGACUCGGCCUCCCUGGAGGUCCUGGCGGCCGAAGAGGAGAGGGAGUUUCAGAAUAUUUUAACUAUGAUCGGAGGCAAAGAGAGGAUUUAUUUGGUCGGCGACGCCAACGGAGGUAAGUGCGCGGAUGAGGAUGGAGCUGCGGCGCUGCAGGAGUUCCUACGUGACAUGUUUCACGGCGCGGAAAGCAACGGACAGCCCCGCUCCUCGCCCUCGGGCGGUCGCGGGGAUCACGCGAGCGCAGCCCACGCUCCUUCGAGUACCGAGCCGGUUAAAUGCGGCGACGUCUGCGUAAGAGUGAAGCCGGAGGACCGCGACGUGAGAUCCAGCCCGGCGGCACAGGACACGCAGAAUGACACGCGGCCGUCACGCAACGGAAGCGCGCGACUGUGUUUGAAGGAGAUCCUGAAGGACGUGAAGGCGCGCACGAAAGUUGCCACGGGUCCCCGACCGGCUUUGAUCGGAUUAAUACGCACCAGACAGGAAAACGCCGAGUCGCGUCGCAGCGCGCAGAUCCUGGAGCGUCUGAUCCGCUCUGUGUUCCACAAACAUCCUCCAGAGACAAUAUGGGUCGACUGUUUCAUCCCGAAGAACGAGGCCAACAUGCUCAGCAUCAAGAAGAACACCUGCCAAGUCAUAUCGUCGUCACAAACCGCAGAUAAUACCAGGGAUGAUGGGAGUCUGCUGUUUUGGCCAAUCCAAUGUUUGCCCUGGCCCCAGAGAAGAGGAGCCGGAGACCAGGGCAAUGACACUUCAGCCAGCAGUCAGAGAGGUUGCACUGGAACUGCAGAAGAAAACAUUCCGCUGAAAGCCAGUUCUUCUUCUGCUGUUCGUCAUGUGGAUGGGGGACCAGCUAGAGAGGACAGCUGAAGUCCUCACACAUGACCAGUGGCUGCAGGCCUAACACUGUGGACAAUCUUUUUUCCUUUUUAACCAUAAAAACAAUGGUUAGCAUUAUGGUGCCAGAGAACCUACAGGUUACGGUGUUAAUUCACGGUGCUCAAUAUUCUCACGGUGGAGCCAGCAUAACUCUUACCUUAUGCAGUAUGUUGUGAAUGUGGUCAUCAUCUCACCUAUGAGUUCUCUCGGUUGUACUAUGGCAGUCAUAAUAGGUUUUACGUAUUGUAGAAUUGUCCUGUUAAUUAUGCCACUGUUUUUGCUCCAUUUAUUGGACAUGUUUGUGCCAUGAAAGUACAGUAUCAACCUAUGAAGUGGGUCCUACACUGAGGCCAAAGUCUGGCUGUAUCUACUGACAGAAAACACCCAUCCAAAUGUUUUCAGGUUCAUGGUGAAGCUGUGUGAUGUUUGACCUUUUUUUCUUUUGCUUUAGCGGAUUUUAGUGCCUUAGAUGAAUGAUUUUGACAACUGCACUAUCUGUAGCUAAAGAAAACGGCGCAGACCGGUUUCUACUCUCUUGUACUGUAGGCUAUGAAGUUUGUAAUAAAACUGAAGGAAUUACAACA
Molecule: long non-coding RNA, 1968 nt
Organism: Betta splendens (Siamese fighting fish)
Lineage: Eukaryota; Metazoa; Chordata; Actinopteri; Anabantiformes; Osphronemidae
Source: Ensembl